This 253-nucleotide ribosomal RNA is filed under the name uncultured bacterium. RNAcentral describes it as "partial 16S ribosomal RNA". It matches the Rfam family "Bacterial small subunit ribosomal RNA", at positions 524 to 776 of the family's 1533-position model. The record is from RNAcentral.
UACGUAGGGGGCAAGCGUUGUCCGGAUUUAUUGGGCGUAAAGAGCGUGUAGGCGGCCAGGCAGGUCCGUUGUGAAAACUCGAGGCUCAACCUCGAGACGUCGAUGGAAACCGUCUGGCUAGAGUCCGGAAGAGGAGAGUGGAAUUCCUGGUGUAGCGGUGAAAUGCGCAGAUAUCAGGAGGAACACCAAUGGCGAAGGCAGCUCGCUGGGACGUGACUGACGCUGAGACGCGAAAGCGUGGGGAGCAAACAGG